RNAcentral lists this unclassified non-coding RNA (342 nucleotides) under soil metagenome. RNAcentral's name for it is "partial contains 5.8S ribosomal RNA, internal transcribed spacer 2, and large subunit ribosomal RNA". The stretch from base 1 to 120 matches the Rfam family "5.8S ribosomal RNA", at positions 35 to 154 of the family's 154-position model. The record is from RNAcentral.
GAUGAAGAACGCAGCGAAAUGCGAUAAGUAAUGUGAAUUGCAGAAUUCAGUGAAUCAUCGAAUCUUUGAACGCACAUUGCGCCCGCUAGUAUUCUGGCGGGCAUGCCUGUCCGAGCGUCAUUUCAACCCUCAAGCCCCCGGGCUUGGUGUUGGGGAUCGGCGAGCCUCCGCGCCCGCCGUCCCCUAAAUCUAGUGGCGGUCUCGCUGUAGCUUCCUCUGCGUAGUAGCACACCUCGCACUGGGAAACAGCGCGGCCACGCCGUUAAACCCCCAACUUCUGAACGUUUGACCUCGGAUCAGGUAGGAAUACCCGCUGAACUUAAGCAUAUCAAUAAGCGGAGA